AGGAACCAUUGACAUGGAUCUCAUCACAACUGGAGUAUCUGCAAGUGAAAGGAUGAGAAGGGAGAAUUUGGUGUCAAGCACCCGCAACAUAAUUAUGGAGAAGAUGCAGCUUGGGGGACCAUCAACUCGUUUGCUAGAGUUACUGGAAGACGUCAAGAAGCAAAGUUCUGGUGGUGAAGUCCACCUAGCAGAUCUGCGAAAUGCACUGGCUACCCUCGCAACCGAAGGACUGGUUGUUGUUCAUGGAGACACUGUGAAGAGAAUAUGAUGAGAGGAGUGCUCCGGAAACUUGGGGCGAUA
Molecule: unclassified non-coding RNA, 300 nt
Filed under: Hevea brasiliensis (rubber tree)
Lineage: Eukaryota; Viridiplantae; Streptophyta; Magnoliopsida; Malpighiales; Euphorbiaceae
Source: RNAcentral